GAGGAAUAAGCAUCGGCUAAUUCCGUGCCAGCAGCCUCGGUAAUACGGGAGUGGCAAGCGUUAUCCGGAAUUAUUGGGCGUAAAGCGUCCGCAGGCGGCCUUUUAAGUCUGUCGUUAAAGCGUGGAGCUCAACUCCAUUUAAGCGAUGGAAACUGGAAGGCUAGAGUGUGGUAGGGGCAGAGGGAAUUCCCGGUGUAGCGGUGAAAUGCGUAGAUAUCGGGAAGAACACCAGUGGCGAAGGCGCUCUGCUGGGCCAUAACUGACGCUCAUGGACGAAAGCUAGGGGAGCGAAAGGGAUUAGAUACCCCUGUAGUCCUAGCCGUAAACGAUGAACACUAGGUGUCGGGGGAAUCGACCCCCUCGGUGUCGUAGCCAACGCGUUAAGUGUUCCGCCUGGGGAGUACGCACGCAAGUGUGAAACUCAAAGGAAUUGACGGGGGCCCGCACAAGCGGUGGAGUAUGUGGUUUAAUUCGAUGCAACGCGAAGAACCUUACCAGGGUUUGACAUCCUGCGAAUCCCUUGGAAACGAGGGAGUGCCUUCGGGAGCGCAGAGACAGGUGGUGCAUGGCUGUCGUCAGCUCGUGUCGUGAGAUGUUGGGUUAAGUCCCGCAACGAGCGCAACCCACGUCGUUAGUUGCCAGCAUUAAGUUGGGCACUCUAGCAAGACCGCCGGUGAUAAACCGGAGGAAGGUGUGGAUGACGUCAAGUCAUCAUGCCCCUUACAUCCUGGGCUACACACGUACUACAAUGCUACGGACAAAGGGUUGCAAGCUCACGAGAGUUAGCUAAUCCCAUAAACCGUGGCUCAGUUCAGAUCGUAUG
This 823-nucleotide ribosomal RNA is filed under the name uncultured cyanobacterium. Its description in RNAcentral is "bacterial SSU rRNA". It matches the Rfam family "Bacterial small subunit ribosomal RNA", at positions 481 to 1304 of the family's 1533-position model. The record is from RNAcentral. Lineage: Bacteria; Bacillati; Cyanobacteriota.